UAAGAAGUUAGUUAACAUCUAAAUAAUAUUGAAUUGUCAAAUCAAAGUAAUAAAAUUUACUUCUU
This 65-nucleotide transfer RNA is filed under the name Cacopsylla pyri (pear psyllid). RNAcentral's name for it is "tRNA-Asp". The record is from RNAcentral. Lineage: Eukaryota; Metazoa; Arthropoda; Insecta; Hemiptera; Psyllidae.